AUCCUAAAGCAUGUUAAAGCAGAGGUCCACGGCUACGUCAGCUAGUGAAAUCGUUCGGUAAAAGUGAUCCUCAUCCCGAACGAAUGCUUCCUCCCCUGCCACACGCUCUCUUCAUCCUUAUCCUUUCAUCCCACACACACUGACCCAGCCACCGCAGACGGUGAGCGGAGCCGCGGAGGCCGACCGCCGCAGCUGGCUGCGAUACUCGCCGGCGCCGAGCACCAGGCCGGCGUGCUCCGGGUCCGAGCCGAGCGUCUCCAUCUGCUGUCGUGGGCGGAGGCCGAGGGGCGAGUGACGCGGCGGUCGCCGAGGCCGCCGCCAUCUGCGCGCUAAUCGCCGUCGCCGAGCUGACCGUCCCCGACGCCAUCGGAGUCCGCCAUCGCUCCGAGCUGCGUCUCCUCCGCCGCGCACCUUCGCACCCGUCGUGACGGCGCGGCUGGAGGCGACGGCGCCGUCCAGCACCUUGGCGCCCUCCUCCUCAUGAGCGACGGAACCCUCCUCGUCGUCUCCUCCGGCUUAUCGGACGCCGGGGAAUUUGUCUGUUGCGCGGCCGCCAGGAGGCGAGGGUGCCAUCCUACACCGCGGCACCCUCCGCCGUCAUGUCUCUCCUAGCACGGUGACCAGGCGAUGCCCAUGGGCGACGGGACCCUCCUGCUCGUCUUCUACGGGCGCUGCGGUUGCCGGGAAUUCUAGGCCGGAGGCCGUCAUGCACUAUUUUUUGCUAUCGCUGCUAUGUGUCGCUACUGUCAGGUAGUGAGACGCCUGCAGGUAUUCAGAAAAAAGGCCUGUAGGGCCCGGUGGAUGGGGCGUUCGCGCUGGUUCGUUCUUCUCCCGAACGAAAUCGUUCGGUCGAUGCCCCUGCCCUCCCGAACGAGUCGUUCGGGCCGGGGUGUCUACAGCCCGAACGUCCGGUACUUAUCGGCGUCCUCAGAUUUUCGCAUUUGCUGACAAUAGCUUAUAUAUAUGGUAUAUGUGUCUUGGAAUCUUGGUAGUGAUUUAGUGGUUCUUCCUGUUAAGUUGUGCAUAUGAGGUACAACUCUUUCUCCACCUGGGCCUUACAGGUCAUAAUACCUUUACAAGUACCAUGCUAAUAAAAAAUUCUUGAUUAAGUCUAUUAUUUUUUCCGUUGCACUAUACUUUAUUUUAAUUCCAUUGCUCUCCAUUAUUUUGGUAUCAAGGUCUAAAAAUGCAUGUUCUAGUACAAUAUUUGUUUUUUCGAAUGCUGUCUUUUUUGCUAAUAAAUAUAUGGUCCAAUCUGGAUUCAAAAUCUAAGAAAUUUAUGGCCUUGCGUAAAUAGUUGCAGUUACACUAUGAUGGAUUGUGUCUACUUUUCUUGAAUGGAAAACAGAGAAGCCGAGAUUCAGUCAUUAGUCGAUACAACAAUGUCCUCCGUGAAAUUGUGAUUCGGGCGAGCCUAGCUUAGCUUGGGACCACUGGAGAUUGUGUGGUGCAAGGGAGACAGACUCCAACGGAUAUUGUGUCGUGCUCAAUGACAGCAACAACAUGGAUAGUGAGGUCAUUGCCCUACAUGAUUGCCCUGUUUCCAAUCUGUUGGGUAGUCCUAUUUGGUUGAUUGUAUCUAUAGUAUGUUGAAAGCAGAUGUAACCUCGUUGAUUUUCACAUUAGAGGCCUCUUCAGUAUAUCUGAUCUUCUGUACGAGGAGCCUACAGUUUGUAAUGUUCUAUUUCUUUUGUGAAACCCCCACAACCUGUCUAUGAACCAUAUGCAUUAGACAUUCCCACAUGUAUUAAUUCUUUUUUUGAAAGGAAUGCUAAAAUUCUUAUGUUCAACUAUAA
Long non-coding RNA from Triticum aestivum (bread wheat), 1796 nucleotides. RefSeq lists it as uncharacterized. NCBI's taxonomy places the organism in Eukaryota, Viridiplantae, Streptophyta, Magnoliopsida, Poales, Poaceae. The record is from RefSeq and is a predicted model, not a curated record. The transcript has 2 exons.